AGAGUUUGAUCCUGGCUCAGAUUGAACGCUGGCGGUAUGCUUAACACAUGCAAGUCGAACGGCAGCACAGUAUGUAGCAAUACAUAUGGGUGGCGAGUGGCGGACGGGUGCGUAACGCGUAGGAAUCUACCCUAAAGCGGGGGACAACCCGAGGAAACUCGGGCUAAUACCGCAUAAUCUCGCGAGAGAAAAGCUGGGGCAACCUGGCACUUUAGGAGGAGCCUGCGUCCGAUUAGCUAGUUGGAGAGGUAAAGGCUCACCAAGGCGAUGAUCGGUAGCUGGUCUGAGAGGAUGAUCAGCCACACUGGGACUGAGACACGGCCCAGACUCCUACGGGAGGCAGCAGUGGGGAAUAUUGGACAAUGGGGGCAACCCUGAUCCAGCAAUACCGCGUGUGUGAAGAAGGCCUUCGGGUUGUAAAGCACUUUAGUUGGGGAAGAAGGUAUGCAGUUUAAGAGACAGUAUGCUUGACGGUACCCAAAGAAUAAGCACCGGCUAACUCUGUGCCAGCCGCCGCGGUAAUAC
RNAcentral lists this ribosomal RNA (525 nucleotides) under uncultured Gammaproteobacteria bacterium. RNAcentral describes it as "bacterial SSU rRNA". It matches the Rfam family "Bacterial small subunit ribosomal RNA", at positions 8 to 526 of the family's 1533-position model. The record is from RNAcentral. Lineage: Bacteria; Pseudomonadati; Pseudomonadota; Gammaproteobacteria.